This 345-nucleotide unclassified non-coding RNA is filed under the name soil metagenome. RNAcentral's name for it is "partial contains 5.8S ribosomal RNA, internal transcribed spacer 2, and large subunit ribosomal RNA". The stretch from base 1 to 120 matches the Rfam family "5.8S ribosomal RNA", at positions 35 to 154 of the family's 154-position model. The record is from RNAcentral.
GAUGAAGAACGUAGCGAAAUGCGAUACGUAAUGUGAAUUGCAGAAUUCAGUGAAUCAUCGAGUCUUUGAACGCACAUUGCGCCCCCUGGUAUUCCGGGGGGCAUGCCUGUCCGAGCGUCAUUGCUGCCCUCAAGCACGGCUUGUGUGUUGGGCCUCCGUCCUCCUCCCGGGGGACGGGCCCGAAAGGCAGCGGCGCCACCGCGUCCGGUCCUCGAGCGUAUGGGGCUUCGUCACCCGCUCUUGUAGGCCCGGCCGGCGCUUGCCGACACAUCAAUCUUUUUUCCAGGUUGACCUCGGAUCAGGUAGGGAUACCCGCUGAACUUAAGCAUAUCAAUAAGCGGAGGA